AUCGCUUUGAUCGUAACGAAGCAAAUGAUCUGAUUUGGGAUAUGAAGGCAGCAACACACCAUGCUCAAUUGUAAAUCGUACGCUGUAACAAAAUCCUUCAAUUAAUUCCAAUAAAACAAAAAAAUUUGGAGAUUCUCAUGCAUAACACUUCUCAGUAAACAAGAAUAUGAUAAGACUAUAUAUACAUAUAUUCUUGUAAUCUUGUUUUGGAGUUGUUAAUUUUGUUAAGUUCAUUUUAUUAAGAUUGUUUAUUAGUUAAUUUAUAGGUACGACCCUAGCCUAAUCACAACAUAUAAGGG
Molecule: long non-coding RNA, 299 nt
Filed under: Capsella rubella
Lineage: Eukaryota; Viridiplantae; Streptophyta; Magnoliopsida; Brassicales; Brassicaceae
Description: long non-coding RNA (CRUB_LNC001350)
Source: RNAcentral